GACGAACGCUGGCGGCGUGCCUAAUACAUGCAAGUCGAACGCUUCUUUCCUCCCGAGUGCUUGCACUCAAUUGGAAAGAGGAGUGGCGGACGGGUGAGUAACACGUGGGUAACCUACCCAUCAGAGGGGGAUAACACUUGGAAACAGGUGCUAAUACCGCAUAACAGUUUAUGCCGCAUGGCAUAAGAGUGAAAGGCGCUUUCGGGUGUCGCUGAUGGAUGGACCCGCGGUGCAUUAGCUAGUUGGUGAGGUAACGGCUCACCAAGGCCACGAUGCAUAGCCGACCUGAGAGGGUGAUCGGCCACACUGGGACUGAGACACGGCCCAGACUCCUACGGGAGGCAGCAGUAGGGAAUUUUCGGCAAUGGACGAAAGUCUGACCGAGCAACGCCGCGUGAGUGAAGAAGGUUUGCGGAUCGUAAAACUCUGUUGUUAGAGAAGAACAAGGACGUUAGUAACGGAACGUCCCCUGACGGUAUCUAACCAGAAAGCCACGGCGAACUACGG
Molecule: ribosomal RNA, 507 nt
Filed under: uncultured bacterium
Lineage: Bacteria
Description: partial 16S ribosomal RNA
Rfam family: Bacterial small subunit ribosomal RNA
Source: RNAcentral